Rhinichthys klamathensis goyatoka is the source of this 187-nucleotide long non-coding RNA. RefSeq lists it as uncharacterized. Lineage: Eukaryota; Metazoa; Chordata; Actinopteri; Cypriniformes; Leuciscidae. The transcript is spliced from 2 exons. The record is from RefSeq and is a predicted model, not a curated record.
GUGUUUCCAUGAAGUCUGCAAAGCUCAACAACACACCAGUUCUUCAUCCUCAGGGACUGAUGUGAUGGUCGAACUCUCGCCGCUUCGGUUUCAGAGCUAGCAUGCGUUCACUAGCGACGGUUAAGCCGAGACUCGCCACAUGCUGUCUCCCAGAAUGCCUCUGGAUAUUAAACAGGACUGUUUUUAA